AGAGUUUGAUCCUGGCUCAGAACGAACGCUGGCGGCGGGCCUAAUACAUGCAAGUCGAACGAGAAAGUCCUUUCGGGGGCGAGUAAAGUGGCGCACGGGUGAGUAACACGUAGGUGAUCUACCCUUUAGUUGGGAAUAACUCGAGGAAACUCGAGCUAAUACCGAAUAAGCUCAGUGAAAUUGAAAAAGCUGAGGAAAGGUGGCCUCUUCUUGAAAGCUACCGCUGAAGGAUGAGCCUGCGCGACAUUAGCUUGUUGGUAAGGUAACGGCUUACCAAGGCUACGAUGUCUAGCGGGUCUGAGAGGAUGAUCCGCCACACUGGAACUGAGACACGGUCCAGACUCCUACGGGAGGCAGCAGUAGGGAAUAUUGCGCAAUGGGGGAAACCCUGACGCAGCCACGCCGCGUGUGUGAGGAAGGCCUUCGGGUUGUAAAGCACUGUCAAUAGGGAAAAACAGCCAUGUUUCAAAUAGGCUCAUGGUUUGAUGGUACCUACAAAGGAAGCACCGGCUAACUUCGUGCCAGCAGCCGCGGUAAUACGAAGGGUGCAAGCGUUGUUCGGAUUUAUUGGGCGUAAAGCGCGCGCAGGCGGAUAAUUAAGCCAGAUGUGAAAUCUUGGGGCUCAACCCCGAAACUGCGUCUGGAACUGGUUAUCUAGAGUCUUGGAGGGGGAAGUGGAAUUUCACGUGUAGGGGUAAAAUCCGUAGAGAUGUGAAGGAACACCGGAGGCGAAGGCGACUUCCUGGCCAAGUACUGACGCUGAGGCGCGAAAGCGUGGGGAGCAAACAGGAUUAGAUACCCUGGUAGUCCACGCCGUAAACGAUGUGCACUAGAUAUUGGAAGUUUAACCCUUUCAGUGUCGCAGCUAACGCAUUAAGUGCACCGCCUGGGGAGUACGGUCGCAAGACUAAAACUCGAAGGAAUUGACGGGGGCCCGCACAAGCGGUGGAUUAUGUGGUUUAAUUCGAAGCAACGCGCAGAACCUUACCUGGGCUUGAACUCCUGAGAAUCCUCUAGAAACAGAGGAGUGCCCCUUGGGGAAUUCAGUGAGAGGCGCUGCAUGGCUGUCGUCAGCUCGUGUCGUGAGAUGUUGGGUUAAGUCUCGCAACGAGCGCAACCCCUAUCUUUAGUUGCCAGCAUUAAGUUGGGCACUCUAGAGAGACUGCCUGGGUUAACCAGGAGGAAGGUGGGGAUGACGUCAAGUCCUCAUGGCCCUUAUGUCCAGGGCUACACACGUAAUACAAUGGUCGGUACAGAGGGAUGCGAACCUGCGAAGGGGAGCAAAUCUCAAAAAACCGAUCUCAGUCCGGAUUGGAGUCUGCAACUCGACUCCAUGAAGUUGGAAUCGCUAGUAAUCGUGGAUCAGCACGCCACGGUGAAUACGUUCCCGGGCCUUGUACACACCGCCCGUCACACCAUGGGAGUUGAUUUUACCUGAAGUCGUAGCCCUAACUGCUUGCAGAGGGGAGCGCCUACGGUCGGAUCGAUAACUGGGGUGAAGUCGAAACAAGGUA
RNAcentral lists this ribosomal RNA (1514 nucleotides) under metagenome. RNAcentral's name for it is "bacterial SSU rRNA". It matches the Rfam family "Bacterial small subunit ribosomal RNA". The record is from RNAcentral.